RNAcentral lists this ribosomal RNA (497 nucleotides) under uncultured bacterium. RNAcentral's name for it is "partial 16S ribosomal RNA". It matches the Rfam family "Bacterial small subunit ribosomal RNA", at positions 28 to 507 of the family's 1533-position model. The record is from RNAcentral.
GAUGAACGCUGGCGGCGUGCCUAAUACAUGCAAGUCGAGCGACCAGAUAAGGAGCUUGCUCCUUUGACGUUAGCGGCGGACGGGUGAGUAACACGUGGGUAACCUACCUAUAAGACUGGAAUAACUACGGGAAAACGGGGCCAAUGCCGGAUAACAUGUCGUACCGCAUGGUUCAACAGUGCAUGGCGGCUUUGCUGUCACUUAUAGCUGGACCCGUGCCGUAUUAGCUAGUUGGUGAGGUAACGGCUCACCAAGGCAACGAUACGUAGCCGACCUGAGAGGGUGAUCGGCCACACUGGAACUGAGACACGGUCCAGACUCCUACGGGAGGCAGCAGUAGGGAAUCUUGCGCAAUGGGCGAAAGCCUGACGGAGCAACGCCGCGUGAGUGAUGAAGGUCUUCGGAUCGUAAAGCUCUGUUAUUAGGAAAGAACAAAUGCGUAAGUAACUGUGCGCGUCUUGACGGUACCUAAUCAGAAAGCCACGGCUAACUACGUG